UAACGCGUGAGGAACCUGCCUCAAAGAGGGGGACAACAGUUGGAAACGACUGCUAAUACCGCAUAAGCCCACAGCUCGGCAUCGAGCAGAGGGAAAAGGAGUGAUCCGCUUUGAGAUGGCCUCGCGUCCGAUUGGCUAGUUGGUGAGGUAAUGGCCCACCAAGGCGACGAUCGGUAGCCGGACUGAGAGGUUGAACGGCCACAUUGGGACUGAGACACGGCCCAG
RNAcentral lists this ribosomal RNA (225 nucleotides) under uncultured bacterium. RNAcentral's name for it is "partial 16S ribosomal RNA". It matches the Rfam family "Bacterial small subunit ribosomal RNA", at positions 111 to 334 of the family's 1533-position model. The record is from RNAcentral.